This 398-nucleotide ribosomal RNA is filed under the name uncultured bacterium. RNAcentral describes it as "bacterial SSU rRNA". It matches the Rfam family "Bacterial small subunit ribosomal RNA", at positions 64 to 507 of the family's 1533-position model. The record is from RNAcentral.
GAGCGCCGUAGCAAUACAGGAGUGGCAGACGGGUGAGUAACACGUGGGAACGUGCCCUUCGGUUCGGAAUAACCCAGGGAAACUUGGGCUAAUACCGGAUACGUCCGCAAGGAGAAAGAUUUAUCGCCGAGGGAUCGGCCCGCGUCCGAUUAGCUAGUUGGUGAGGUAACGGCUCACCAAGGCGACGAUCGGUAGCUGGUCUGAGAGGAUGAUCAGCCACACUGGGACUGAGACACGGCCCAGACUCCUACGGGAGGCAGCAGUGGGGAAUAUUGGACAAUGGGCGCAAGCCUGAUCCAGCCAUGCCGCGUGAGUGAUGAAGGCCCUAGGGUUGUAAAGCUCUUUCGGCGGGGAAGAUAAUGACGGUACCCGCAGAAGAAGCCCCGGCUAACUUCGUG